RNAcentral lists this non-coding RNA (887 nucleotides) under Istigobius campbelli (Campbell's goby). Its description in RNAcentral is "partial 12S ribosomal RNA". It matches the Rfam family "Bacterial small subunit ribosomal RNA", at positions 194 to 1528 of the family's 1533-position model. Lineage: Eukaryota; Metazoa; Chordata; Actinopteri; Gobiiformes; Gobiidae. The record is from RNAcentral.
ACUCCCGUGAGAAUGCCCUGCCUUCACCACACAACUGGAGAAUAGGAGCCGGUAUCAGGCACAAUAACUUUAGCCCAUGACACCUUGCUUAGCCACCCCCCCACGGGCACUCAGCAGUAAUAAACAUUAAGCUAUGAGUGAAAACUCGACUUAGUUAAUAUCAAGAGGGCCGGUUAAACUCGUGCCAGCCACCGCGGUUAUACGAGAGGCCCAAGUUGACAAAAACCGGCGUAAAAAGUGGUUAAUAAUUUUUAAACUAAAGCCGAACACCUUCGAUACUGUCAUACGUGACCGAAGGCAGGAAGACCUCCAACGAAAGUGACUUUAACCCAAUAUGAACCCACGAAAGCUAGGAUACAAACUGGGAUUAGAUACCCCACUAUGCCUUGCCCUAAACAAAAAUGUAUCAACACACCAACCAUUCGCCAGGGAACAACGAGCCCCAGCUUAAAACCCAAAGGACUUGGCGGUGCUUUAGACCCCCCUAGAGGAGCCUGUCCUAGAACCGAUACUCCCCGUUCAACCUCACCCUCCCUUGUUUUCCCCGCCUAUAUACCGCCGUCGUCAGCUUACCCUGUGAAGGAUUAAUAGUAAGCAAAAUUGGCAAGACCCAAAACGUCAGGUCGAGGUGUAGCGUACGAGAGGGGAAGAGAUGGGCUACAUUUACUGAGCCAGUAAACACGGAUGUUGCACUGAAAUGAGCAUCUAAAGGAGGAUUUAGCAGUAAGAGGGGAGUAGAGCGCCCCCCUGAAAAUGGCCCUGAAGCGCGCACACACCGCCCGUCACUCUCCCCGAAAAACACAACUGAUAAAUAAUGCUAGAUAAUAACACGAGGGGAGGCAAGUCGUAACAUGGUAAGUGUACCGGAAGGUGUACUUGGAAAAACC